UUCAAUGGGCCACACAGCUCCAAACUAGAGUCGUCAGUCAGUCAUUUUAAUUCAUGACAGACACAAUGUUGUAUUCGUAAUUUCAUGGAUUUUGGCAUUCGUAGGAGCAACACAAGAUUUAGGGAACGUUGUAAUCCCAGCGUGUAAUCCCAAGGCCUACGGAGGGGUUUGUUACCGAGCCGACAAAUGAACUGGAGCUUCCAAACAAGCUCCUGUAAAGAUGCUCUCUCUCCAACUUAGAGGAGUCUAGGGGAGUUUGCCUUUAAUUAGAGAGGUGACAAGGAAGACAUGAGGCUGUACAGAUGCUGGAUUCUGUCACCCGAUGUGGAAAUCACACCCUUACCGCAGAGCAGGCCGGAGAGGUUACCAUGGGGACGAAAUUACAGAACAUCUCCGGACCCCGGUGGAACUCUACAUGUGCUUGCCAACAUGUACAGAAUGACCCGGUUCCCGGACGCACUGAAUACCCUGGGAUCUAUCCUUAGCCCUGCAUUUUUCCAUACCAUCCCAUACCCCCCCCCCC
Long non-coding RNA from Hypomesus transpacificus, 523 nucleotides. RefSeq lists it as uncharacterized. The transcript has 3 exons. NCBI's taxonomy places the organism in Eukaryota, Metazoa, Chordata, Actinopteri, Osmeriformes, Osmeridae. The record is from RefSeq and is a predicted model, not a curated record.